UGGGGAAUAUUGCACAAUGGACGGAAGUCUGAUGCAGCAACGCCGCGUGCGGGAUGACGGCCUUCGGGUUGUAAACCGCUUUUUCUCAUGACGAAGUUUUUUGACGGUAGUGGGGGAAGAAGCACCGGCUAACUACGUGCCAGCAGCCGCGGUGAUACGUAGGGUGCGAGCGUUGUCCGGAAUUAUUGGGCGUAAAGAGCUUGUAGGCGGUUUGUCGCGUCGAUAGUGCAAACUCAGUGCUUAACGCUGAGACUGCUGUUGAUACGGGCAGACUAGAGGAAGGUAGGGGAGAAUGGAAUUCCCGGUGGAGCGGUGGAAUGCGCAGAUAUCGGGAGGAACACCGGUGGCGAAGGCGGUUCUCUGGGCCUUUCCUGACGCUGAGAAGCGAAAGCGUGGGGAGCGAACAGG
RNAcentral lists this ribosomal RNA (408 nucleotides) under Fusobacteriota bacterium. RNAcentral describes it as "Fusobacteria bacterium partial 16S ribosomal RNA". It matches the Rfam family "Bacterial small subunit ribosomal RNA", at positions 355 to 776 of the family's 1533-position model. Lineage: Bacteria; Fusobacteriati; Fusobacteriota. The record is from RNAcentral.